RNAcentral lists this ribosomal RNA (1456 nucleotides) under Klebsiella ornithinolytica. Its description in RNAcentral is "bacterial SSU rRNA". It matches the Rfam family "Bacterial small subunit ribosomal RNA". Lineage: Bacteria; Pseudomonadati; Pseudomonadota; Gammaproteobacteria; Enterobacterales; Enterobacteriaceae. The record is from RNAcentral.
GGGCCUAACACAUGCAGUCGAGCGGUAGCACAGAGAGCUUGCUCUCGGGUGACNAGCGGCGGACNGGUGAGUAAUGUCUGGGAAACUGCCUGAUGGAGGGGGAUAACUNCUGGAAACGGUAGCUAAUACCGCAUAACGUCGCAAGACCAAAGUGGGGGACCUUCGGGCCUCAUGCCAUCAGAUGUGCCCAGAUGGGAUUAGCUAGUAGGUGGGGUAAUGGCUCACCUAGGCGACGAUCCCUAGCUGGUCUGAGAGGAUGACCAGCCACACUGGAACUGAGACACGGUCCAGACUCCUACGGGAGGCAGCAGUGGGGAAUAUUGCACAAUGGGCGCAAGCCUGAUGCANCCAUGCCGCGUGUAUGAANAAGGCCUUCGGGUUGUAAAGUACUUUCAGCGAGGAGGAAGGCNUUAAGGUUAAUAACCUUAGNGAUUGACGUUACUCGCAGAANAANCACCGGCUAACUCCGUGCCAGCANCCGCGGUAAUACGGAGGGUGCNAGCGUUAAUCGGAAUUACUGGGCGUAAAGCGCACGCAGGCGGUCUGUUAAGUUCAGAAUUGUGAAAAUCCNCCGGGGCUNCAACCUGGCAAACUGCNAUUUGAAACUGGCCAGGCUUGAGUCUUGUAGAGGNGGGGUAGGAAUUUCCAGGUGUAGCGGUGAAAUGCGUAGAGAUCUGGAGGAAUUACCGGUGGCGAAAGCGGCCCCCNUGGACAAAGACUGACGCUCAGGUGCGAAAGCGUGGGGAGCAAACAGGAUUAGAUACCCCUGGUAGUNCNCGCCUGUAAACGAUGUCGACUUGGAGGUUGUUCCCUUGAGGAGUGGCUUCCCGGAGCUAACGCGUUAAGUCGACCGCCUGGGGAGUACGGCCGCAAGGUUAAAACUCAAAUGAAUUGACGGGGGCCCGCACAANCGGUGGAGCAUGUGGUUUAAUUCGAUGCAACGCGAAGAACCUUACCUACUCUUGACAUCCAGAGAACUUAGCAGAGAUGCUUUGGUGCCUUCGGGAACUCUGAGACAGGUGCUGCAUGGCUGUCGUCAGCUCGUGUUGUGAAAUGNUGGGUUAAGUCCCGCAACGAGCGCAACCCUUAUCCUUUGUUGCCAGCGNUUCGGNCGGGAACUCAAAGGAGACUGCCAGUGAUAAACUGGAGGAAGGUGGGGANGACGUCAAGUCAUCAUGGCCCUUACGAGUAGGGCUACACNCGUGCUACAAUGGCAUAUACAAAGAGAAGNGACCUCGCGAGAGCAAGCGGACCUCAUAAAGUAUGUCGUAGUCCGGAUUGGAGUCUGCAACUCGACUCCAUGAAGUCGGAAUCGCUAGUAAUNGUAGAUCAGAAUGNUACGGUGAAUACGUUCCCGGGCCUUGUACACACCGCCCGUCACACCAUGGGAGUGGGUUGCAAAAGAAGUAGGUAGCUUAACCUUCGGGAGGGCGCUACCACUUGGAUCGCUACAAUC